RNAcentral lists this ribosomal RNA (849 nucleotides) under Pilorcula trifilaris. RNAcentral describes it as "partial 16S ribosomal RNA". The stretch from base 342 to 591 matches the Rfam family "Archaeal large subunit ribosomal RNA", at positions 1787 to 2143 of the family's 2987-position model. Lineage: Eukaryota; Metazoa; Mollusca; Gastropoda; Stylommatophora; Orculidae. The record is from RNAcentral.
UAGAAUUUAUAGAAAUAAUUUCCCGAAAAGAAAAGAUCUAUAUUUAAAAUUAUUUUAGUCUUACCAAAGGAUGUGGCAAUAUUUAGUGUAAUAUUUAAGUAUAGGAGUGAAACACUUACACUUUUCUAGAUAUCUGGAUAAAGUUGAAAUGUAUAUAGUACAAAAAUUAGCCUUGAAGUAAUAAGAUUUUAAGGAAAGUAGAAUAGUUUAGGAUUAACCCAAACCCUGAAAUAAUUUUCUGAGGGAAAGGGCUAGUAAGUAUUAAUUUAUUUUUUAUCUAUGAAUUAUAUUUUUUUUAUUAGUUAUUUUUAUCAAUAAGAUAUAAUGUUUAAAUUAGUAUAAUGUACUAAAUAAAUUUCAGGAACUCGGCAAAAUUUAUCUUCAACUGUUUAACAAAAACAUAGCUUAAAGUUUUUUCUUUUAAGUUAUCCCUGCCCAAUGAAGUUAGAUUUUAAUGGCCGCAGUACACUGACUGUGCUAAGGUAGCAUAAUAAGUUGGCUUUUAAUUGGAGUCUAGAAUGAAAGGGAACUUGGGGAUAAACUGUCUUAAUAUUAAUUAUUUUAACUUACUUAAGAGGUGAAAAUUCCUCUACGCCCCGAUAUAAGACGAGAAGACCCUAAGAAUUAUAAUUAAAGGUUGCUUAUCUACCUAAAUUUUUGUUGGGGCAACACGUUUGGAGUUUAAUCAAGCUCACUAUUAAAUUACACAUUAAAAAAUUAUUAAAUAUGAAUUUAAUUACCUUAGGGAUAACAGCAUAAUCAAAAUUUGGUUUGUGACCUCGAUGUUGGACUAAGGACCUUUUAGGUUAACCACUUUUAAGGCUUGUUCUGUUCGAACAGUAUACCUUA